CCGGCGCACGGGUGAGUAACACGUAUCCAACCUGCCGUCUACUCUUGGCCAGCCUUCUGAAAGGAAGAUUAAUCCAGGAUGGGAUCAUGAGUUCACAUGUCCGCAUGAUUAAAGGUAUUUUCCGGUAGACGAUGGGGAUGCGUCCAUUAGAUAGUAGGCGGGGUAACGGCCCACCUAGUCAACGAUGGAUAGGGGUUCUGAGAGGAAGGUCCCCCACAUUGGAACUGAGACACGGUCCAA
This 240-nucleotide ribosomal RNA is filed under the name uncultured bacterium. RNAcentral's name for it is "partial 16S ribosomal RNA". It matches the Rfam family "Bacterial small subunit ribosomal RNA", at positions 95 to 334 of the family's 1533-position model. The record is from RNAcentral.